UUUUUUUUUUCUUCAAGGUUCUCUUUGAAGGUUCUCUUGUAUUUUGUGAUCAAGUAUGGUUGUGAUCCUUUUUCAAUACAUGCAUUGUGAUAUAUCAGUUCUGGUUUUAGAGAUAUAUUGUAGUUUCUAAUUGAUGUCUACUGACUAAUAUCAUAAUUAACUCAUCUUCUGAAAUCUGUUGGUAUGGUACUGGUACUGAAUUCUGUCCAAGUUGAACUUUCCUCGUUAAACUAGGAUUCUUUAAUAUCUUCUAUUUCAACCAUCAGAAACUACGAAGGUUUUACUAUGGUAUCCAUCCUGAUUAAUAGACCACUUAGUUUUCUUUUGAGCCAAUAUGGUUAUUGAACUGACUGGAGUUCUCUGUUUAAGCAAUCCUUGCUCGGGUAGGAUUUAAUCAAAGCUCAGAAAUCUGUCCAUUAGAUUAAUCUAAGAUUUUAUAUCAUGUUUCUUCAUUAAACUAGCAUUCGACCAAGGUUUGGUCAAAAUCUGAGUUUCUGGAUUGGUUUGGUGAGAUUUCUCUUGAAUUCUAGAAAAUUUAUUAAUUUGUUUGUUGCUGGUUUUGAAAACCUAGUCUUUAGGUGACUGGGAACCACAUUAUAAUCUUUAGAUUGGGCUGGAGGUUGCUUCGAUGUCAAUGAUGAUGCCAUGGCCAUAUGUUGGGUGAUAGAAGAAGUGCAUGGAAUUAGGAUUUAUUAGAAACAAGCAGAAUUUAUUCUGACAUAUAAGAUUUACAUCUUGUGUAUUGUAUACAAGUCUAUAUGUAUGCUACUCUGUACCACAUCACAUACAAGUUCCAUUCUACCACUCUUGAACUAAGUAAUCUGAUUGCUUAAAGAAUGAACUUGAUGCAGUUGGGCAAUGGAUUUAGAAGAAAUACCUUUGAUUGGUUUCCUUAUUACUUCCCUUUUUAGGUUUAGAAUUAGUUUGGCAGUACUCUUAUUUGAUGAGAUUUUAUUUCUAUCCUGGUUUAGAUGCAAUAUUUGUUCCAGUUUCAAUUAGGAAAGUAGGUUUAUUUUCAAGUCUUUAAAUAGUGUUUCUGUAGCCAGCGGAGGAGGGAAUUUUGAUUUGAAUGAAUUUGAACAAUGAUGUUUUGGUUGGAAACGAAGGCUGCCAUGGGUUGUUUUCUUCUUCCCCUUCCCUGACUUUUUUUUUUCCCUCUGUUCUUCCUCUCAUACUAUUCAUUCUCUCUAUUGCUGGUUGAUCCCCUGUUCUGGGUGAUAGAUACAGCCUCAGAUUAGUGGAUCGAACUCCUUAGUGCUCGAUUUGGUGGGACUGAGACUUUGGUUGUAAGUUCCUUCCCCUUGGGUGACAUAACUCCUCAAGCUCCAGCUCCAAAGCCCUCCUCAGUCCUGAGAUUGAAGUCAAGUUUCAGUCCUGCCCUGGGUGUUAUCACCAUCUUCAGUUUCGGGUGCUUCCCACAUCCUUCCAGCCUGCCGACCUGACCAGCUAUUAUGUGGAUUUGGAAGAGCCUCCUCUUGCGACCCCACGCCUGAAAUUUCAUGCCUAACAGAGAGGGUUUGAAGGAGCUACUCCCAUCGCAAGCUGCUGCCCCUUCUCUUCUUGUAGGUCGACCAAGGAAGGAGAAGACUUGGUCGUGGGUUAUUUAGGGUAACUACUCCCCUGGUUUGACCAUUAUACCCUUCCUUUACUUAUUAAUCUCUUUUGUCCUAACUUUAAUUGUGAUUUCCUGAACUGCCCUUGCUUAUUAGUCGAUUGAACCUUUUUUUGUGUUUUAAGUUCUGCCUAAUUACAAAACUGCCACCUCCUUUAAAACUUCCAUUUAUUUAUAGAACUGCCAUUCUCUUUGAUAUUUGGGUUAUAAAAUUGUGCCAUUGAUUAAUUAAGUGGGCCCUAAGCAAUCCGAUUUCAGUCCUUGGAAUCCGGAUCCGCAUCAAAACUACUUUGGAACCAUUACAGUUAAUUCAGCCUUAGAUUGAGACAUUAUUGGGAAUUCCUCUUCCAGUUGGCCCACCAAUACCAGAAUAAUUGUAAGUGUCUAGAUAGAGCUAGGUGUAUGGGAUCAAGACAGGCCCUAUUCGACUCCUCAAUCUUUCAUCAUUGUUCAUCUCUAUACUUCUAUUCCCAAUCUUUACUAGCCUCUUUCCAAAUUCUUCAAAAGCUUCCAAUGGUUCUGUAUCUGAUGUCCAGUUUAGAGUGUCCCUUUGCCCAAGAUAGACCUCAUCAGAAGAAUGUGUGGAACCUGUCAUGAAUCUGAUGUCCUACUUCCAAAUUCUUCAAAAGCUUUCAAUUGGGGCAUGCGUAUGUAACCUGCAAACAGAAUAAGAAAAUCAUUAAUUAAACUGUUAUGAAUCAGGUUCUUAUCACAAAUCUUCCAAUGUGAACCAUUUAACUACCAGUGACUGAUAAGCUGGUGAACACCAGAGUCAUUCACAGCUACAUAAGCUUUAGUCAGUUGCCAUACUGAGGCCUCAACAACUUCUUCAGCAGGGGUGUAGACCUUACUAAUUGCACCAUAUUCAUCACCAUCUGGAUGUGGUAGACUCAACUCAAUUGCCAGUGGCUUCAAGGUCCCAUCCUCUUUCAAGAAGAGCAGUGUUCUAGUUGCAUAGGUCUUUGUGGUAGUGGUGUUUAUACACCUUAGAUAUGGCAUUUCUUUCUUUGGUUAAAAAAGGACAAUUUCCAUGGGUUCAUUAAAGUGAAAGAAAACAGAGAAACAAAGGAAUACAUAGUAGCCUAUUCCUUUCAUGGCUCAUGCAUUUGAACCUUCCAAUUGGAUAGUUCCUGUAGAAAAAUUCCCACAUAUAUCUUAAUCUUUUUACUAUUUCUUAAAAUUAUUUUCCUUUUUGUAGUAAUUGGAAUCAUAAAUAUCAAGUUUGUGCUGGUCAUAAGACAACCCAGUUCCUGAUUCACACUGAAUCAAAGAUGAAACUACAAAUAAUCACCAAAACACCAAAUCUACCCAUUUGAUCCUUUUUUUUUUUCUGAACCAUUGGCCCAUUCAACCUGCUCUGACCCAAUUUUCCUUUUAGUUGCUUUCUUUGUUAACCUUUUUUUUUUGUUUACAGGUCAAAGAUCAGUUGAGAAUGAAAGAGUAGUGUUAUCAAUACCUGUUGGAUUAGAAGAAAGAUUUUGGUGUGGCAAGGAGGAGAUCAUUGAUCAGGGUUUGGAUCAAAAGAUAGAAAGCCAAGUUUUUCGGAACAGGACUUUGAUAAAUUAAAGAUAUGCUCUUUUUUACUUUGGUAGUGUAAAUUCUUGAUGACUUUGACAAGUUUGGAAUGUAAUACUGGCUUGACUAGAUAUUAGUGAUCGAUAAUAAUAUAUUGAUGUCUUGAUUACGUAAAA
Molecule: long non-coding RNA, 3303 nt
Organism: Macadamia integrifolia
Lineage: Eukaryota; Viridiplantae; Streptophyta; Magnoliopsida; Proteales; Proteaceae
Exons: 2
Source: RefSeq, a predicted model, not a curated record